Trichonephila clavipes is the source of this 74-nucleotide non-coding RNA. The record is from the annotation of a GenBank genome assembly. Lineage: Eukaryota; Metazoa; Arthropoda; Arachnida; Araneae; Nephilidae.
GCCCUACCUUGAAUGGUGGUUAUGAUACUCGACUUGUAAUUAAGUGGGUUCGGGUUCGAAUCCCGAGUAAGGCA